Long non-coding RNA from Brienomyrus brachyistius, 510 nucleotides. RefSeq lists it as uncharacterized. NCBI's taxonomy places the organism in Eukaryota, Metazoa, Chordata, Actinopteri, Osteoglossiformes, Mormyridae. The transcript has 3 exons. The record is from RefSeq and is a predicted model, not a curated record.
CCCACCAAUCCCGUCCUCGCUGUUCAGAUAAACCAGGACAAGAACUUUGCCUUCCUUGAAUUUCGGUCCGUGGAUGAGACCACGCAGGCAAUGGCCUUCGACGGCAUCAUUUUCCAGGGUCAGUCGUUAAAAAUCAGGCGGCCCCCACGACUAUCGCCCCCUGCCUGGCAUCUCAGAGCAGCCCGCCUUCCACGUACCAGGGGUCGUCUCCACCGUGGUUCCAGACUCGCCACACAAGCUCUUUGUCGGAGGCCUGCCCAACUAUCUCAGUGACGAUCAGGUACCCCGCCCUCAGUCUCUGUCGCCGGGGAGCCGACCCACAACCCUCCUGUGUUUCUGUCCCACUGCUGCACGUGGAACUCAAGCAGGCAUGCACACACACGCACACGCACGCACGCACGCACGCGCACGCACAUACAUACAUAAAAUAAACACUCGUCUCUGUGUAACUGAUUAGUAGGAAAAGAAAGCCUGUCAAAGUUACCUCACCGCUUAAAAUUCAUUACAAGA